AGUUGCGAUCAUACCAGCACUAAUGCACCGGAUCCCAUCAGAACUACGUAGUUAAGCGUGCUUGGGCGAGAGUAGUACUAGGAUGGGUGACCCCCUGGGAAGUCAUCGUGUUGCAACCU
Molecule: ribosomal RNA, 119 nt
Filed under: Helianthus annuus (common sunflower)
Lineage: Eukaryota; Viridiplantae; Streptophyta; Magnoliopsida; Asterales; Asteraceae
Source: RNAcentral